Ctenocephalides felis (cat flea) is the source of this 247-nucleotide long non-coding RNA. RefSeq lists it as uncharacterized. The record is from RefSeq and is a predicted model, not a curated record. The transcript has 3 exons. NCBI's taxonomy places the organism in Eukaryota, Metazoa, Arthropoda, Insecta, Siphonaptera, Pulicidae.
UAUGAAAAUCCAUUUUUGAUGAUGGUUUGGACAAAGAAUUUUGCUAGGGACGAGGAAAGGGCAAAAAUAAAUUUUGUGAUCUAGUGCCUUGCGAUGUCAUCACAGGAAUUGCUUUGAAAAAUUUGCCGCAUGAGACAUAGUUUACUGUUUCAGAGGCUGCAAAAAGCUGGCUGCGACGUGCCAAUAAAUAUUAUACAAGGAGAGAAAAUCAACCAUGAACUAGGAUUGAAUGCCGAAUUAAUUAUAU